RNAcentral lists this long non-coding RNA (831 nucleotides) under Ficedula albicollis (Collared flycatcher). RNAcentral's name for it is "lncRNA (ENSFALG00000023505.1)". The record is from RNAcentral. Lineage: Eukaryota; Metazoa; Chordata; Aves; Passeriformes; Muscicapidae.
UCAAUAUUAGAAAAGACCUUCAGGAUGAUCCAGUCCAAGUGUUCACCCAGCGCUGCCACUGUAACCCCUAAACCUCAGCAACAAAUGCAAGAUCCAGACACCUGAACAUCUCCCUGGCAGCCUAUUCCAAUGCCCGAGCUCCCAAACAAUCAAUACAUUUUUCUCCAAACAUAAUUUGAAUCUGCCCUGUCUCGGCUCAUGACCUCACACCAUCUGCUGUGUCCCUCUCCCCUGUAGCUCCCAUAUUUCCUGCAGGGAUGUGCUGGGUUUGUGGGACGCCACUGAGCGCUCAGGCUUGCACAGCUCUGAAAUAAAUAAUUCACUGUGUCUCGAGUGUGUCAUCAUUGGCUUGGUGCACACCAGGGAAUAAAUCAAUGUCCUGAGGAGGCUGUGGCUCCUGGAAAGCUGCUGGUACUGUCAGGGACAGAAAUCACAGCCCCAGGUUUUUGCUCUGAAACAGUUUUUGCUCUGAAACAACUGCAGGAAACAACACAAAUUUGGUUGUGCAAUAUUGAGGUCAGACCUGAGCGUAGCCUCUUCUUUAGGCCCUUUAUCAAAAAUCUCAUCACGAGCCCCAAAAUCCUCUCAAGUGUGUCAGGACUUUCCAUGAAUGAAGUUAAAUAUCUCCAUCCUGCUCCCAGCUCAGGCUUACAAAGCACUCUCAGACUGGCCUUGGGUAGGAUUCCUGCAAGAACAGAGCUCUCUUGCAUGACCCACGGCCAUAAAAACCACCUAGCAGCAUUGUUCAUCCCCAGAAACCUCUGUGGUGCAGCUUGUGAGGCUUUGUCAAGGAAAACUUACUCUCUGCUUCAGCUGCUGCUUGGAAAAUGA